Rattus norvegicus (Norway rat) is the source of this 2771-nucleotide non-coding RNA. Lineage: Eukaryota; Metazoa; Chordata; Mammalia; Rodentia; Muridae. The record is from RefSeq and is a predicted model, not a curated record.
UUAAUAAAAAAAAGAAAAAGAAAAAAAAGAAAAAAAAAGAAGGGGGUGAUUUGUUAUGUGAAUAUUUUGAGAAGAAACCUUUGUUUAGUCAUAUUUCUUUGUUUAGUCUUGCCUCAGUUGUUCCUGGUAUCGUAGGAAUAAUGAUCUUAUGGUAUCUUGCCAAAAUGGAAAUUGUAGUAAUGCAUAUUCAUAUCUACAUAAGGAUUAAUAAAGCUUGCAACUGCGUGCAGUCGCUUCUGCCUUUUCUCUGCACCCCCCGUGUCCUGGUUGGGUGCGACCAAACCCAGGGCCCCCAUUGCACUAGACAUUGACAAAUGGUACCCAAACAGGGACCCUGAAGAUGUAUUGUCUGGCACUAAUCCCAGAGGAAUGCAACCUAAUGAAUUGUGGCAGAUGGAUGUAAACCAUAUUCUGAGUUUGGUCGCCUUUCAUAUAUACAUGAAUCCAAUUAAACCAGCUGUACUUUCUCCUGAUGGAAGUCCUUCAGAGAUGAAGGAGGUGUCCUCCAUUACUGAGGCCAUGGCUUCUCUUAAGAUUGAUAAACAACAACAGAGAAGGAUGCGUACAGUGACAACCCCAUUGCCUACCUGGGGUCAGGUGAAGCAUUUAACCAUUGAAGGACGAAAAAUGUUGUCUCGUACGGGAAAGUUCUUUACUGCUGAGCAUUUAUUUUUAGCAAUGUGUGCUAUACUCACAGUAUCUUCUGCUGAGUUAUUGGGCUUAUAUUCCUAAUCCACCCUUAUUUGAGCCUUCUACUUGAGGGGAAACAGAUGUGGUGUUAUACAACACUCCAAACAUUUUAUCAUCUCCUUGGAAUAAUUUGACUUAUUUGAACAAGCAUGAUGGAACUUUGUAUAAUUUUACUUAUGCUGGCUCUAAGAUGCCUUUAUGUUUAGGACAGAGACCAUGACUCCAAAUGGGCUAUCAAAGUUGGCUAUUACCAGAAAUAAAUGUUACAGUUUCCAGGACUCUCUUGACAGCUUGGUCUAUAAACCAAAACUGGAAUAACAUUAUAUUUGUUAGUGAGUCAGUAUAUCCUAUUUGUGCUCAAUUUGCUUAUAUAGGCUUAAAAUAUCACCCAUUCAUUGGAAGAACUGCCUUGGCACAUUUGGAAAAAUUAUUCAAGAUAAAUAGAUAAAUUGGGGUCCUUAUGGUCAAUUUAUUAAUCAUGUUCAGAAUGGAAUGUUACCACUUGUGAUUUGUCUAAUGUUACCAGGAUGACCAGAGAGGAGAAGGAACACCUUAAUGGAUUCUUGCUGAUGGUAUGGGGAGAUGGUGGCAUUGCUGAUAAUUGACUGGCCUCUGUGGAAGAUCCUACUGCGUUUCAAAUUCACUUGUGGAAGACUGCUGCUGCAUUAGAAGAAGUUGUGCUUGCUAAUGGAAGCUUUUCUGGGACUGUUCAGUCUUCCUCUCAGUAUAAUUUUACCACAUUUAAAAAAGAAAAGGUUAGGGGUUGGGGAUUUAGCUCAGUGGUAGAGCGCUGGGUUCAGUCCCCAGCUCCGAAAAAAAAAAAAAGAAAGAAAGAAAAAAAGAAAGAAAAGGCUACUACUUGUAUUCAUAUGCCAUAUUUGUUUUUAAGAGGUAGAUCUAAUUUUACUAAUGUAUUUGCUUAUAUUAGCUGUCAUUUGUAUUCAUGUAUUAAUUCAUCUAUUCAGUUUAAUAUAAAUCAAGAUUCUAUUAUGAUUAUUCAGCAAGAAUUAUAUGUAUGGAUGCCUGUUAAUUUGGGAUGUCAUUGGUCUCAAGAUCCUCUUAAUCAUGUGAUUAGUGAAUUUUUUAAUAAUCUGCUAAAGAGAAGUAAAAACAUGAUUGGAGUCAUUGUAUCUUACUUGGCAGGAGUUUCCAGCAUAGCAUUAAAAACAUCUAUUCAGACAGAGCAUUUUGUUGAAGACUGGCAUAAAGAUUCAUAUGAGUUAUGGAUAGAACAAGGUAAAAUGAUACUAGACUUCAACAUCAAAUAGAUGUUUUAAAACAAACAGUAGAAUGGUUGGGUCGAAUGAUGUUAUCUAUUGAAAAACAUGUGAAUUUAAGUUGUGAUUGGAAGUCAACUAAUUUUUGUGUUACUGAAUAUAUGUAUAAUGAUACAGAACAUGACUGGAAGUUAAUUCAAGCCAAUUUAGAAGGUAAUGAGAGUGCUACAAAAGUAAAGAGUGCCUUGAAAUAUGAUGUUCGUAUGUCUUUUGGUAAACAGCUAGAAGAUACUACCCCUGAAGAAAUAGCUAAAUUAUUGACUGAUCAAUUGACAGGAUUAGAUCCCAAGGCUUGGCUUCAAAGUAUUUUCCAUAGCUUGGGAUGGGCUAGUUUUGCCAUAAUAUUAUGUACAUUAUAUAUUAUGUUGCUUUAUUUUUGCAUGAGUAAACCCCUACAAGGGCAUUUAGCUAUAUUAUGGAAAGUGUUACUUUUAAAACAAAAGAAAAAAGAAGGAAUUGUUAAGACAUAGAGAUGCAGCUCCCAGCAGGGUCAAGUAAGGACUGGACAGGUGCAAGUAGGGGCUGGAAUGCCGCCCUUGAGAAGAAAAUGUUUUUCUCACUUGGCCUUAAACUGUGGUCUUCUGUGUCCUGUUUCUGUGGAAGCAGUUCUCAUGCUCUGUUGGUAAUGGCAAGUAUACUUUGAUAAUAAGAAGAGGGGUGAUUUUGAGAAGAAACCUUUGUUUAGUCGUAUUUCUUUGUUUAGUCUUGCCUCAGUUGUUCCUGAGAUCGUGGGAAUAAUGAUCUUAUGGUAUCUUACCAAAAUGGAAAUUGUAGUAGUGCAUAUUCAUAUCUAUACAAGGAUUA